UGCGGGGUAGUGUAAAGGGAGCACAUAAGCCUCAUACGCUUAAAAUCGCAGUUCGAUCCUGUGCCCCGCUUCUA
This 74-nucleotide transfer RNA is filed under the name Chitinophagaceae bacterium. RNAcentral's name for it is "tRNA-Met". It matches the Rfam family "tRNA". From Rfam's summary of the family: Transfer RNA (tRNA) molecules are approximately 80 nucleotides in length. Their secondary structure includes four short double-helical elements and three loops (D, anti-codon, and T loops). Lineage: Bacteria; Pseudomonadati; Bacteroidota; Chitinophagia; Chitinophagales; Chitinophagaceae. The record is from RNAcentral.